Molecule: ribosomal RNA, 484 nt
Filed under: uncultured bacterium
Lineage: Bacteria
Description: partial 16S ribosomal RNA
Rfam family: Bacterial small subunit ribosomal RNA
Source: RNAcentral
AUUGAACGCUGGCGGCAGGCCUAACACAUGCAAGUCGAGCGGAUGAAGGGAGCUUGCUCCUGGAUUCAGCGGCGGACGGGUGAGUAAUGCCUAGGAAUCUGCCUGGUAGUGGGGGAUAACGUCCGGAAACGGGCGCUAAUACCGCAUACGUCCUGAGUGAGAAAGUGGGGGAUCUUCGGACCUCACGCUAUCAGAUGAGCCUAGGUCGUAUUAGCUAGUUGGUGGGGUAAAGGCCUACCAAGGCGACGAUCCGUAACUGGUCUGAGAGGAUGAUCAGUCACACUGGAACUGAGACACGGUCCAGACUCCUACGGGAGGCAGCAGUGGGGAAUAUUGGACAAUGGGCGAAAGCCUGAUCCAGCCAUGCCGCGUGUGUGAAGAAGGUCUUCGGAUUGUAAAGCACUUUAAGUUGGGAGGAAGGGCAGUAAGUUAAUACCUUGCUGUUUUGACGUUACCAACAGAAUAAGCACCGGCUAACUUCGUG